ACGUAAACAACCUGCCUUCAGGAUGGGGACAACAGACGGAAACGACUGCUAAUACCGAAUAAGUUCCAAGAGCCGCAUGGCCCAUGGAAGAAAAGGUGGCCUCUACCUGUAAGCUAUCGCCUGAAGAGGGGUUUGCGUCUGAUUAGCUGGUUGGAGGGGUAACGGCCCACCAAGGCGACGAUGCGUAGCCGACCUGAGAGGGUGAUCGGCCACAUUGGGACUGAGACACGGCCCAGACUCCUACGGGAGGCAGCAUG
Molecule: ribosomal RNA, 257 nt
Filed under: uncultured bacterium
Lineage: Bacteria
Description: partial 16S ribosomal RNA
Rfam family: Bacterial small subunit ribosomal RNA
Source: RNAcentral